Molecule: long non-coding RNA, 632 nt
Organism: Cornus florida
Lineage: Eukaryota; Viridiplantae; Streptophyta; Magnoliopsida; Cornales; Cornaceae
Exons: 2
Source: RefSeq, a predicted model, not a curated record
AUAUAUAAAGCUAGUGGACCCCACCAAUACUUUAGACACCGGGCCUAAAGGCCUUUGAUUCGACUGUUUUUUUCUCUCUCUGCAUAUCUCUCUCUCUCGUUAGAAUUCCAGUAGUUUCUUUUCCUUUUCUUUUCUUUUUUCUUUUUCAAUUUCAAGCUUUGAUUUCUCCUUCCAUACUUGGAAUUUUUGAGUGCCAUUUGCAGCAAAUCGAAGAGCACAGCGAGAUCUACUUGUGAGUACCAACAAUUUCAGUUUUGGUGCACUCUAGGGAGUUCAAAAUUAUAGGAUUCUUGGGCUCAAAUUGGAAGUUUUCAUCAAUUUGAGGAUAUGGAAAAGAAGUGGCGGACGACGGUCCACCACAGGUUUAGACGAACUUGAAGACCCAUUCUAUUUUGUUAUCUUUUGUAUUAGACUCUAGUAUUUUGUAAAUGUAAUGUUAACUACCUUGUAAAACUUUAGUUUAAUUAGUAUAAUGUUAUAAGUUAUGGACUUUAAACUUCUUACUACAUUUUGGACUGUAAAUUGAUGUAACUAAAGUGUAUCACUUGUUUGGAUGAGAUGGAGGAACGGGACUUCUGUAUGUAUGUAGCCAUUUUGGGAAUGUAAUAUAAUAUCGGUAUUGUGAGUUGUGA